This 21-nucleotide microRNA is filed under the name Scyliorhinus torazame (cloudy catshark). RNAcentral's name for it is "Sto-Let-7-P2c1_3p* (star (passenger))". The record is from RNAcentral. Lineage: Eukaryota; Metazoa; Chordata; Chondrichthyes; Carcharhiniformes; Scyliorhinidae.
CUAUACAACUUGCUGCCUUUC